GGGAAGGUGGCUCAGUGGCAGAGUGCUUGCCUUGCAUGCAUGAGGUCCUGGGUUCGUUCCUCAGCUCCA
RNAcentral lists this transfer RNA (69 nucleotides) under Dipodomys ordii (Ord's kangaroo rat). It matches the Rfam family "tRNA". Rfam says of the family: Transfer RNA (tRNA) molecules are approximately 80 nucleotides in length. Their secondary structure includes four short double-helical elements and three loops (D, anti-codon, and T loops). Lineage: Eukaryota; Metazoa; Chordata; Mammalia; Rodentia; Heteromyidae. The record is from Rfam by way of RNAcentral.